This 693-nucleotide unclassified non-coding RNA is filed under the name uncultured Prochlorococcus sp. RNAcentral describes it as "partial may contain 16S ribosomal RNA, 16S-23S ribosomal RNA intergenic spacer, and 23S ribosomal RNA". The stretch from base 1 to 97 matches the Rfam family "Bacterial small subunit ribosomal RNA", at positions 1437 to 1533 of the family's 1533-position model. The record is from RNAcentral. Lineage: Bacteria; Bacillati; Cyanobacteriota; Cyanophyceae; Synechococcales; Prochlorococcaceae.
ACCCUUGUGGAGGAGGACGCCGAAGGUGGGGCUAAUGACUGGGGUGAAGUCGUAACAAGGUAGCCGUACCGGAAGGUGCGGCUGGAUCACCUCCUAACAGGGAGACAACAAAAUGUAAAUAUUAAUUUUGUCACCUUAGGUCGAUCGGUAUCUCAGAUUCUUAAUUUUAAGAAUUUCAGUUUCUAAGUUUUUUCUAGGUCACACCCAUUACUUUUUCCUGGGCCAUUAGCUCAGGUGGUUAGAGCGCACCCCUGAUAAGGGUGAGGUCCCUGGUUCAAGUCCAGGAUGGCCCAUAUCUCUAUGUUGGGGGUAUAGCUCAGUUGGUAGAGCGCCUGCUUUGCAAGCAGGAUGUCAGCGGUUCGAGUCCGCUUACCUCCACUGAAUACCACCUUUAUACAUAUUGUUAAAAAGGGAAAUUGUUUUGAGUCGUGUUCUAAUUGCUCUGAGCGAAUCUAGCUUCCUAUUUUAUUUAAUAAAUAAGAUGCUGGACUCAUUGAAUUAUUAUUCAUUGUUUUCAGAGAACCUUGACAACUGCAUAGAUUAUUUUUGAAGACAAUAAGCAUCUUUAAUGAUGCAGAUUUAUUAUUUGUGCGAAUGCAUUAAAUAACAAUUCUAUUAAGCUGAUGCUUCAAUUAUUGAAGUUAUUGGUCAAGCUACAAAGGGCUCACGGAGGAUACCUAGGCACACAGAGGC